UACAGAGGACUCAAGCGGUGUUCGGAUUCAUUGGGCGUAAAGGGUGCGUAGGUGGCAAGGUAAGUCGGGUGUGAAAUCCCGGGGCUCAACCCCGGAACUGCACUCGAUACUGCCAUGCUCGAGUACUGGAGAGGAGACUGGAAUUUACGGUGUAGCAGUGAAAUGCGUAGAUAUCGUAAGGAAGACCAGUGGCGAAGGCGAGUCUCUGGACAGUUACUGACACUGAGGCACGAAGGCCAGGGGAGCAAACGGG
RNAcentral lists this ribosomal RNA (253 nucleotides) under uncultured bacterium. RNAcentral's name for it is "partial 16S ribosomal RNA". It matches the Rfam family "Bacterial small subunit ribosomal RNA", at positions 524 to 776 of the family's 1533-position model. The record is from RNAcentral.